RNAcentral lists this long non-coding RNA (372 nucleotides) under Fukomys damarensis (Damara mole-rat). RNAcentral describes it as "lncRNA (ENSFDAG00000028262.1)". Lineage: Eukaryota; Metazoa; Chordata; Mammalia; Rodentia; Bathyergidae. The record is from RNAcentral.
CCCUCUUCAAAGAUGCGGAGAAUGUCACGGUAGGUUGUGACUCCCAGGGUGUUAAAGCAAAAGCUGCAAGUACUCUUGCCUCCUUGUUCCACAGAUAAACAAGAACGGGCCCAGCUCCUAUCACUCAGAAAGGGUUUCAGCUGGAACUGCAUGUCCUCAGCCUGAAUCAACCAGGGAAGGGAGAAACUGGGGAUUUGGAGGGAGAUGAACUGACGGUGGCAUUCAGAUGUCUCCCGUGGCAGGCAUCUUCCACGUGGCAUCCCAGCAAUUUGGACCGCGUACCUUGCAUACGUGCUGCUUUGACCAUAUGGCUAUGAGGUAAGGUGCAAAAGGAGGUGAAGAUUCACAUACUAGCUUUUACGUCAAAAUAGU